UUCGCGCAAUCCAUAGUCCACAGUUUUCGCUUAAUCCCCGGCCGCAUCCCAGUUCCAUCCCGCGGCGCAAUCCAUUGACUCCCUGCCGCAUCCCAGUUCCAUCCCGGCAGCAUCCCAGGAACGCGCCCGUGUUCUCCAGGAGCAACAGCACGAGUAAUGGCACCGCGGAGGAGGCGGCAGGGGCUGGGGAGGAGCUGCCCAGUCCCGUGAACGGCGGCGCGGCGCCGUUCUUUCCUCGUCAGGCCGGAGACGCGCUCUUGGACGACUUGCAGCUGCAGGAGCAGCUCGCGUUCCUCAACGAGGGCGGCGGGAACCCGGCCCACCAGCUCCAGGGGUUCGACGGCGUGGAGUGUCGGAGCCCCGGCCCCGGUGAUGCCGAUGGGAUGUUCGCGUUCGGCCUCGGGUGGCACAACGGGGGCCCAGCGCACCGCAGGAGCUCGUCAGUCAACGAGCUCUGCCUUGGCGGCGGCGGCGGCGAUGGUUUCGGUUGGAAGCCCUGCCUCUACUACGCGAGCGGGUUCUGCAAGAACGGCGGCAGCUGCAGGUUCGUCCACGGCGGCCUCUCCGACGACGCUGUUGCGCUCGCUGGCACCAAGAUGGAGGCAGCGGCCGAUCAGCAGCAGCAGUGCCAGGACUUCCUCAUCCGCUCCAAGGGCCAGCGCCUCGGCCCCGCCGUCUUCCCCUACUCCCCCACCGGCUCCCUCCCAGGCUCGCCCUCCGCCGCUAGCAAGUGCCUCAGCUUCCUGCUGCAGCAACGGCAGCAGCACGACAGAGCCGCGGCGGCCGCGUCUCUGAUGCUGGGCGGCGGCGACGAGGCGCACAAGUUCAUGGCCCGGCCGCGCCUGGACCGUGCCGACUUCGCCAGCCUGAUGAAUCCCAGCUCGCGCCAGAUUUAUCUGACCUUCCCGGCCGACAGCACGUUCCGCGAGGAGGACGUCUCCAACUAUUUCAGCAUCUACGGUCCAGUUCACGACGUGCGCAUCCCCUACCAGCAGAAGCGCAUGUUCGGGUUCGUCACCUUCGUCUAUCCAGAGACCGUGAAGCUCAUCCUGGCCAAGGGCAACCCGCACUUCAUCUGCGACACACGCGUGCUCGUCAAGCCGUACAAGGAGAAGGGCAAGGUCCCCGAUAAGUACAGGCAUGCAUUGCGAAUUCAUCCUUGGCUUCCAGCAACGGCAAUGGCGUCCGUGCAUGCACAUAUGCAGUUGCUCGGGUUAAUUGAUCUGCUGUUCUCGGCUCGCAGGAAUGUAACACCCCGUCCAAUCCCUGGACCGGCGGUACUUACUCCUGGCAGCUCUCUAGGAUCAUAUAUUGUCCCCACAGACCAACACGAGUCUUUUGUGCGCACUUUGUCCUCACUCAUGGGCACCCGAGAAAACUUCCCGGUCAGUCACCCAUCCCAAAUUGCUCCAAGCCAAGCACGCUUAACUUGGAGGUUCUUUCGAGACAGGCUUCCGAAAAAGAAGAUGCACCUUGUUGGUAUGAUUACACUAUUAAUUCUAUUAAGCCUUGGGCCAGGACAUCCCAUCCCAGGGGGCAGGAUAUCACAAUCCACCCCCCUUAGAAGACCGAUGUCCUCGUCGGUCAACCCCAAUCCAGGAACCUCCCCUCUUGGCCACGUCUGUAUGUCUAGUGUCGUCAUAUGUCAUGCCAUGUGACCACUCUAGGCCCACAUGCGCCAUGCGCCAUAUACCCGAACCCCCUAGCCCACACACGCCCGUGAAACCGCGAGGGUCGGCUCUGAUACCACUUGUAACACCCCGUCCAAUCCCUGGACCGGCGGUACUUACUCCUGGCAGCUCUCUAGGAUCAUAUAUUGUCCCCACAGACCAACACGAGUCUUUUGUGCGCACUUUGUCCUCGCUCAUGGGCACCCGAGAAAACUUCCCGGUCGGUCACCCAUCCCAAAUUGCUCCAAACCAAGCACGCUUAACUUGGAGGUUCUUUCGAGACAGGCUUCCGAAAAAGAAGAUGCACCUUGUUGGUAUGAUUACACUAUUAAUUCUAUUAAGCCUUGGGCCAGGACAUCCCAUCCCAGGGGGCAGGAUAUCACAAGGAAGCAGCAGCAAGGGGACUUCUCCGGCUACACGACGCCCACUGGCGGGCUGGACGCCCGAGAUCCCUUUGAUCUGCACCAACUCGGCGCGAGGAUGCUGCAGCAUUCGAACAGCGCCAACGAGCUGCUCUUGCGCCGGAAGCUGGAGGAGCAGCAGCAGGCUGCCGAACUUCAGCACGCCAUUGAGCUCCAGAGCCGCCGCCUCAUGGGUCUCCAGCUGCUCGACCUCAAGGCUCGCGCAGCUGCGACAGCAGCAGCGGCAUCGGCACUGCCAACACCAGUUGUCAAUGCCUUCGCGUCCAUCCAUCCUUUGAGCACCAUGGCAGUCGAGUCGCCACUAGAGUCUGGAGAGCAGCUCAAGCUGAGCAGUGGGUUUGCUCUAGAGGGGAAGCUCAACGGGUGGCGACAAGGAAGAAUCUGCUUGCGAGGCGAGCCCUGACGCCGCUGAUAGCGACCAAAGGUGGAUUAAACAACCCAUUUCAUCAUUCUUCUUCCUUGUUAGUUAUGAUUCCCACGCUUGCCUUUCAUGAAUCAUGAUCCUAUAUGUAUAUUGAUAUUAAUCAGUUCUAGAAAGUUCAACAACAUUUGAGCAUGUCAAAACCUAAUCGUUGCCUGUUCCAUGUCAACAGUGGAGAUCACAACUUGCCGGACAGCCCAUUUGCGUCCCCUACCAAGUCUGACGUGCUCGUGCACGACAGUUUCGCCGCCACGGAGCCUGAGAACACCGCGUCCCUUGUUGGGAGCAAGAUCGACGGCGGCAGUAACCAUCUCCGCCCCCCUGCGCUGGAAAUCCCUUCGCCCAGCUCCUACUUCUUCCCCAUGCGCAGGCUAUCCUCCGAUCACGGAGCCAUGGGGAUGUAAAGUUCAGCAUUGGAAGCGAGUGAUACCCCAGCCUAAUCAUAGAAUACUAGAAGCCAAGGAAAAGUGAUGAUGGAUAUAUAGGAAAAA
RNA transcript from Zea mays, 3004 nucleotides. It is a transcript of the gene named zinc finger CCCH domain pseudogene, with no coding region annotated. The record is from RefSeq and is marked validated. NCBI's taxonomy places the organism in Eukaryota, Viridiplantae, Streptophyta, Magnoliopsida, Poales, Poaceae. The transcript has 7 exons.